AAGUCGUAACAAGGUUUCCGUAGGUGAACCUGCGGAAGGAUCAUUAACACGUAUACUAUACGUAUUAAACUAAACGCGAAUUUGUUGUUAAGCCUGUUAUUGGAUUUGAGCUGUACCGUGCGGGAAUGGUGUGAUUGUAGCGUUAAAAACUACAGUCUAACUCACGGUCUUAUCGUACUCGAUACGAGGUUCAGUCCAGUAAUAGUAGAUGAAUUUCGGCUGCUUAUUAAGCCUGCACCUUGGCUUGCAGUCCGGGGUGAAAUUAUUACCUACCCAUUAUUUAUACUUAUUCUGAUGUAGUACGUUUAUACGAAUUCCUGAUUAACUUCAGUUGAGUUUGUAUCGAUGUCGUAUAUUACUAAUACGAAACAACUCUUAGCAACGGAUAUCUUGGUUCUCGUAACGAUGAAGAACGCAC
RNAcentral lists this unclassified non-coding RNA (418 nucleotides) under fungal sp. RNAcentral's name for it is "partial internal transcribed spacer region". The stretch from base 1 to 46 matches the Rfam family "Eukaryotic small subunit ribosomal RNA", at positions 1786 to 1831 of the family's 1831-position model. Lineage: Eukaryota; Fungi. The record is from RNAcentral.